This 26413-nucleotide long non-coding RNA is filed under the name Medicago truncatula (barrel medic). RNAcentral's name for it is "long non-coding RNA (MTRU_LNC000181)". Lineage: Eukaryota; Viridiplantae; Streptophyta; Magnoliopsida; Fabales; Fabaceae. The record is from RNAcentral.
GAUAAUAUUUUCUUUUUAAACAGCAAAUUUUAUUCAUAAUAAGAUAACCUAACACAAGAAGUGAAGAGGCUAUAGGGGAAAGACACAAGGUAACAAUACAUAAAGACAACUAAACCAAUGCUAAAAAGCCACAUCACAAAACCACCCAAACAACCCUUAAUACAAUAUAAUUGAACCAGUUUCCAUCAACACCACAUCAAUAGACCCCUAAAUAAUUGAACAAAAACCAGCCACCUAAACUUCCUGGUACCAGUAAAUUACAAUUACUUAGUAGAUAUUGAUAUGUCUUGUUGCAUUGAUGUUUCAGAAAUGUGUGGCUGGAGGGUAAUCUUUGGGUCGUAACUUCCACAAUAUCUUCGAGCAGCGAUUGAUUUUGGGAGGUUUGAAUUUUGGCAAGGCAGCAUCAACAGCAAAAUGUUGAGGAGCAAGCAUAAAAGCAGCAAGGAAUAACACUAAUAAGGAUAAGAAAAAGGAAUUAGCCAUUUUAAGAAGUGAUAUUAUUAUUGUGUUGGUGCAUAAUACAUAGGUAGUUAACUGGCUUUAUACUAGUUAGAGACUCAAUGUGAUUUUUUGGUCAAUCUAAGUCAUUGUGUAUGAAUUCAAUCAUUCAACACGUAGGUUCCAUGCAUUUGGAAAACUAGUUGAUGAUUAAUAAUGUUCAAUAUAUUAGGCUAUGAAUUGUUUAUGAAUUGAAUUAUUGAACAAUGUUACAUGUUCCAUGUAUUUGCAACUAGUUGAUGAUUGGUAGCUACCUAUCCUUUAAUUUUCCACACAACAAGACCAUUCAGUAAUAUUGGCUCUAUAUCUCCACUUGUUUGCCCACACCGUGGUUUAGCUGAAAAAACAGUGUACUGGAGGUGGAACAUGUUUUAAUAACAUUAAUAUGUAGAUAUUAUUAUUUAUGCAUUGAACCCUGUAUUGAUAAAAAUUCCACAUAGGUUACUUUAUUUGUCAUUUAUGCUUGAAUAUAUAAAUACAAAACAGUGUUUUUUCUUAUUAAAAUAGGGGGAUUUUAGGCUAGCUUUUGUUAUUCUAAUUAUACCCUUAAAUAAAUAAAAAAUCAAAUAAUGUAAUAUUGUUGGUAUAAUUAAAAAAAUAAGAAUUUUUGUUAUAUUAUUGUUGUCAUUGAGUAAGAUAAAUAUGGUUUGUUGAGUUUGUUACAUUUGAAAGUCACAUAUAUUUAUACUUAUAAUUUUAAUCUAUAUCAAAGAGUUUAUAUAAAAUAUCGGUUGUAAUUUACACGCAAAAUUUCUAUAAAUUAUCGUAGAUAAUCUAUACACGUUAACGUAUUAAAAAGAGUAGAAAGAUGCGCAUGUGACUGCCCGUAUUUUGGUCCCUUAACUUCUCUCUCUUACACAUUUUGGUCCUUUCCAUUAGUUUAAUUCAAAAACGUUGAAUUUUCUUCAUCUUCUUCUCCUCUUUUUCAUCUUCAUAUCAUCUCCAUCAACCUUCAACAACAAGAAUCCCAAAAAAAAUUAUAGAAGAAAAUGAAGAAAACCUAACGUUUUUGAAUUAAAACUAACGGAAAUGGCCAAAAUGUGUAACAGAGAGAAGUUAUGAGACCAAAAUAAAUCGAAUUUUAAUUAAGGGAUCAAAGCGAUACUACCUAAAUAGUUAAGGGACCAAAAAUGCAAUUUAGCCUAUAAUCUAAUAUCAUCGUUAUUAAAUAUUAUUUUAUAAUCUAAUAUCAUUGUUAUUAAAUUUUAUAGCAAGUAUCAAACGAAGAACCGAGAGUUGUUGUUUGAUAUUGUUAUUUAAUCAUGUCUCGUAUAUCAAAGGAAGGAUCGAGAGGUAAAAUUUGAUAUUGGAAUAAAUGAGAUUGUAAACGAUAAGCAAAAUAUGAGAAAAAUUUUGUGACUCUUAUGACAAUAAGGUUAUAAGGUUGCACUCAAAAAGUUUUAAUGAUUAUCAACUAUGAGAAUAGGUUUAAUUACUGUUGAGAUACAUUCAUGUAAUCUGAUAGGAAACAUGAAAUAUCAAAGAACAUCUUGUCCUUAGAAACGAAUAGAGAAAUAUAUAGGGAAUGUUUAGAAUUUAACUUUAUGAUGAAAACCUCAAUCUCAUGACGCAUUUUAAUAUCUGAAUUUUAAUCUAAAAAAUCAUUGCACUUAAUCAACUUAUCUUUUUCAGCUAAUCAAGACUAAAAAUUAGAUUAGAAUUUACUUUAAGUCCAUGUGAAUCGAUAUUUUACUAGAACCGUACACUUGCAGAAACCUAUCAAAGACCCUAUUGAUGUAUAUGGAAUCGUAGUUACCUAUCAAAGCUACAAAAUUUAGAUCGGACUUGGGGGUCUUUCUAACCGUUCUUGAAGUCGUAGGGGGGUUCGUUUACCGGAUGUAGCAUCGAAGGCUUGAGUGCAGAGUUCGAAGGGGUGCACAAGUAUUCAAGGAUCCGAAGAUUCAAGAAGCACCAAAUUUAAGGGUUACUUGGAGUUUGGGGGAGUGUUUUACAUAGGAGUUGAAGAAUUAGGUUUUAAUUUCAAGGAACUCUUGUAAACACAUUGUAUUCAACAUUUGUUACAUGGUGGAUGAUCUCGGUGAAGAUGUACUUAAUCAAGAAGAGUAGAGGUAGAUCUAGAGAGGACGAGAAAGAGCAAUCUAUUAUAAAAAUAUCGGUGUGAUCUCUCUUUCCCUAUCCUCUUUACUUUUAGAUAUUGCAUGUGAUUAAUUGAAUAAUUUUUAGGAUAAUUUCUAGUGUUGAUCUAAGUUGUUUUUCAUUGAAAAUCAAUCUAAUUCAUUGAAUUAGGUUUCAUAUAAUUUGCUUAGAUCAAUUGAAUGCAAAAUCUAUUCAAUUCUUCAAUUACACAUGUAUUGUGUUUUUUAUUUGAUAACUUAGUAAUUUUGUUCAUAUAGAUUUGGUUUGAAAUUGUCUAUUGUUUUAUACAUUGUUCAAGGAAUAUUAAAGUUUGAUUGUAUAAUAACAUUUAGUAACAAGGUGAUUGCAACACUUGAAAAAUUGUUAGCUGAUAUAGUGAUAUAGUAACAAUUGAGUAAAAGUGUUAGAUCCAAUACAACAAGUACCAUCCCUAAAAAAAAAACAAAAAUACAAGUAACAAUAGAACUCAUUCGUUAUUCAUUCACGUGUUAAAAAAUUUAGCUGAAAAAACAGUGUACUGGAGGUGGAACCUGUUUUAAUAACAUUAAUAUAUAGAUAUUAUUAUAUAUGCAUUGAACCCUGUAUGAUUUAUUGAUAAAAAUUCCACAUUACGUUAUUUGUCAUUUAUGCUUGAAUAUAAAAAUACAAAACAGUGUUUUUUCUUAUUAAAUUUUUUAAUUAAUUUAUAAAGACUUUUAAUAACUUAGUGUUUACCAAUUGCACUCAUUAAUUCUUAAUUAUAGAAUAAUUGUAAACCCAUUUUAGAUCCUCCAAAAAUGAAGAAAGCUCAUUCUUAGGACAACACAAAAUGGAAGAAACUCAAGAUUGUUGGCAUAUUGGUAGACUAUUUCUGUUUGACAAAUUCAAUAAUCUAGUUUAUAGUUUAUAAGUCCGAAUGAUUAAAAAAUAUAUGUUUCAUAACUGUUUUUUCAUCACAAGUUUUAUAGUUUAUUUUAUUAGUUUGUAGGUUUUUUUUUAGACUUUAUUCCAAAUGUGGAAUAACGUUUGAGAUUAUAGUUUAUCCUUUAUAAUCUAUAUUAUAUAUAAUGAAAAUAGGGGGAUUUUAGGCUAUCUUUUUUGUUAUUCUAAUUAUAUCCUUAAAUAAAAAGAAAUCAAAUAAUGUAAUAUUGUUGGUGUAAUUAAAAAAAUAAGAAUUUUUGUUAUAUUAUUGUUGUCAUUGAGAAAGAUAAAUAAAUAUAGUUUGUUGAGUUUGUUACAUUUGAAAGUCACAUAUAUUUAUACUUAUAAUUUCAAUCUAUAUCAAAGAGUUUAUAUAAAAUAUCGGUUGUAAUUUACAAGCAGAAUUUCUAUAAAUUAUCAUAGAUAAUCUAUACACGUUCACGUAAUAAAAAAAAGCAGAAAGAUGCGCACGUAAAUGCCCGUCUUUGCACUAGUUUAUUAUAAAAAAAAUGCUAAAAUGUUCAGUUCUUUUGGUCAUACUGCACAAAUUAUUUGGUAGCUUGACAUAUAUGUUACUGAUGUAAACUUCACUCUCACUUUAAUUAUGUUACUCCACAGUCCUCUAAAAUUGUGUUUCUCUUUUUUCCCUAAAACUUCUCUUUUGGAUUAUUCAAUCCGAAUUAAGUUGUUUCUGGUUUGAAAUAUAUAAUUUGAACUGCUUCUAUAUAUGUUUUCUCUUUAUUUUGUGGCUAUUUAUUAAUUGUGUGUAUAUCUGAUUUUAACACUUUCAAAUAUUGAUCGCAUGGGCUGUGUUAGGAAUGAUAGAAUUUCCUUGACUGCAUCUUCUAGGUGAGAGCAGACGUAGAAGAAUGUACUAGAAAGGAGAGUGGUCAAGGGCAGGGGCAUGGUCCGCAAUGCUGAGACGCAGAGAGGUCGUCAGUUCCUAGACAUUAGUGGAAGUUUAGGGCGCAUCGGGGAACAUGUCAGAAAUAUUUAACUUUUUUAGUGAAUAUUUUUUUAAUUUAAAAUUUUUAAAGAGUGUCUCGAAGAUACUCGUUGGCAAGACUGAUAAGUUGUAGUUAAUGGUGUUUUUAACAUUUAAAUUCAAUAAUAUUUACGUUGUUUUAGUUUUAAUUUAGAUUCAUUUUACUGGAAAGCAUUAGUUUUUGUUUUCAUAAUCAAAAAUUUGAAGAACAGUGUACCUGGAUCAAGAGCGAGGAUAAAGAGCCAUAAAGCAACAACAUGGAUUGUUCGUGGUUCCAUCUGGGUUGUGCACUUCUUAAAAUGUCAGAAUUUCAAAAGUUGAAGUACAAGCACGACCGUGCCCCCCAACACCGUAGAAAUAAGCAUGAUUGUGCGCUUCAGAAGCACGACUUUGCACCCCUCAAAACAUGUCAAAAGUUGGAAAGGUGAUCAUGACCGUGUACCCUUGAAGCAUGACUGUGCACCCUUGAAGCACGACCGUGCGUCUUGUGCAGAGAAAAUAGUUGUUACAACCUUUUAGAAUUCUUUAGUUUAUGGCUUGUAACUCGUUUUUAAUAUAUUAUAUGAGGCUCUAGGCUAUAAAUAUACCUCACUUCUAAGGAAAAAAGAAUCUUAGAUACUUGUAAACUUACUCUAAAGUUGAAAACAUAAUUUUGCAAUGUUCUAAGUUCUUUGUUCUUUAUUUUUCAUUUCUUUACAUUUGUGUUCUUUACUCUUCUGUUCUUUACAUUUUAAGUUAUUUACUUUCAUGUCUUUUACUUUCUUGUCUUUAUAUAUUAAUCAUUCGUCUACUAUGAGAGAGAGAGAGAGAGAGAGAGAGAGAGAGAGAGAGAGAGAGAGAGAGAGAGAGAGAGAGAGAGAGAGAGAGAGAGAGAGAGAGAGAGAGAGAGAGAGAGAGAGAGAGGUGAUAUUAGUGCAGAACACAUAGCAAAAGAGAAUGAAAAAAGAAGAUCCCGAUCCUUUUCUAAAGGAGAAUCAACCAUCUAUAUAACGACAAAUUUAAACCCAUCAAGUACAAAAAAACGAUCAAGGUAAAAAAUAUAAACGGAACAUUGAACAAUUUUAUUAAAUUAUAAUAAACUUCAAAGGGUAAAAUUGGUUUUUAGAUAAACAUAUAAGGGGUUACCAAAUAGGGUUACAAGUUAUAAGCUUGUGAAGAAAACGUCUUGGUUGACUUCAAUGACUAAAGUAACUAAGACCAAAGAGUGAAUGAUUUAAUUCGGAUUUUAUCUAAGUCAUUGACCAAAAUUACAUCUUGUUACACUUUUAAGGAGAAAAAUGGUUGUUUUCUCAAUAAUGUUUUCCAAUAUUAAAUUAAUGUUGUUUUCUGCCUUAGGGAUGUUACCAAUUUGUUAUGUUGGAGUUACCUUUAGUGCUAAGAAACCUUUAGACCAAUAAAAAUAUUUUGAGUCCCUUUUAAAGUGGUAAAUACACUAAUAUAAAGUCAUUGUCAAUUGAUGUUAGGACUAUUUAUUAAUAAUGCAAUAUUUACUUGUUGUUCUUUGGUAGACACUUAAGGUGCGUUUGAUUUGUUAAAAAAUGAAGGACAGAACAACUCUAGUUGUCCAGUGUUUGAUUUGUAAAACUGUUUUAGGUACAAGACAAUUUGGAGGCAAGGGACAGGACAAAAACUCAUUUUUGUCCCUCACCAACCCACAACACAACUUUUUGUCCCACGUACAAGUUGUCUAAAAUACCAAAAUAGCAUUUUGUCCCUCAAAAAUCGUAUAAAACAAAAAAUUACUCAAUGCCAUAAAAAAUUUGUCCUGUCUUGUUCUGCCUUGUGUUGUACUGUUCUAUCUUGUACUGUUUUGUCCGGUACUUGCUGUUUUGCAAACCAAACACACCCUUAGAGGUCAUUUUUGUGGACUGUAGGUACCUAAAGCUCUAUGAACUUGGUUAUAUCAUAGAUAACGUCGUAUUGGAAAAACGGAAAUGAAAGACUCAUCUCUCACUCUACUUAGGGCUAGCCAAUUGUCAAACGCCAAUUGUCAAACUUGGUUACAAUUAAUUUUUUUUGGAAAACUUAUUUUGAAUUUUCUACAUGUCAUGAAAAAUUCAAAUUUCUGUUUUCUGAUUAGAAGAUCAAUAAACGGUUCAAUAUCAUCACAAUCUCCAAAUCAUAACUUCAUUCAUUUGCAAAUCUAGAGCACAUAUAUCACGAUUUUCUAUCAUGAUUUGCAUUGAUAUAAGUAAGUAUAACACAUAUAUUUUACUCUUAACUUAGCCAUACAUUGCGGAUUUACUUAGUAGAUAGAGUAAUGUUUUUUUUUAAACAACAAAUUUUAUUCAUAAGCUAACCCAACACAAGAAGUGAAGAGGCUAGAGGAAACACACAAGACAACAGAUACAUAAAGACAACUAAACCACCCAAACAAUCCUUAAUACAAUAGAAUAACAUCAGAAAAACCAGCCACCUAAACUUCCUAGUACCAUGAAACAAUGUCAGGUCGCGUUGAUUUUUAGGCUGGAGGGCAAUGUUUGUUUCGGAAGUUCUCGACUUUCUUCAACAAAGGGUAGUGCUUUUUGCAGAAAUCGGGUAUAUGGGGUAUAUGUACUGGUUUAUCUUUUGGGAUUAAAUUUUUGAUUUUUGGGAUUAAUGCUUCAACUGCGGGACCAAAGCUAACAGCAUCAGCAAAAUGUUGUUGAGGAGCAAGCAUAAAAGCAGCAAGGAAUAACACUAAUAAGGAUAAGAAAAAUGAAUUAGCCAUUUUAAGAAGUGAUAUAAUUAUUAGUGUUGGUGCAUAAUACAUAUGGAGUAUACUGGUUUUAUACUAGUUAGAGACUCAAUGUGAGUUUAUGGUCGAUCUAAGUCAUUUACUAAAUGUCAAAAUUGUGUAUGAAUUGAAUUAUUCAACAAUGUUACAAGUUCCAUGUAGUUGCUACUAGUUUAUGAAUUGAAUUAUUCAUUCGAUUCUCCGCGCGACUCAGGUGCAUGCCGAAACCGUUUUAAUUAUAUGAGCAAAUUAAUAAAUAAAUGGGUUGGUGCUUAUGAUGGUGCUAAGCGUUUGCAAGGAAGCGGUUGGUCGAAAGAUGAUGUUUUGGAAAAAGCCCAUGAAUUAUAUGUGAAACACCCCGUUUUCCCAACUUGAAUUUUUUUGCAUAAAUCAGAGUAAAACAACUAAACAGGAUGCUGCACUUCUUUCAAAUCUGAAUAUAGUAAAAUUACUAAUUAUCUCAAUCAUCAAAUUAAAUCUUAUUGCAGCGGAAAUUAGUUCAACGUUUAAAACAACCUUGGCACAAAGGCCUCAAUGUAAAAUCUCAUAAAAUUAUUCCAACAACAUGUUCAUAAAACUUCAUAAAAUAAUACGUAAGGAACGUAAAGCAACAACAAAAUUCUCAUCCCGUUACGUAUCAGAGCACCUAAGACACACGUGAGAGAAUCCACUCACGACCGCAACUAUUCUUGGUUACCUGCAAGUUACUCAAUUGUGAGGGCAACAUUUCCAAGCAGAAGGGGUGAGAUUUCACAUUCAAUAAUAAUAAGCAUAUAAUUCAUCAAAUUCAUUUAACAACUUAAACUUCAUCAAUUAGUAACACUAACUCUUCGCAUAAAUACUUCAUUAAUUAAUAACAUUAACUCUUCCUAUAAGACUUCAUUAAUAACUCAAUCAACUUCUAAUCAUCAUUAACUUCAUAUUCAUCACAUUAUAUACAACGUCAUACAGCACGUAAUAAUCAAAUCAUAAACAUCAUCAUAUAAAAACCUAAUCAUCACAUCAUAAACAUCAUCUUAUAACAUCAUAUAGUUCACAUCAUAAACAUCAUCAUAUAACAACAUAAACAUCACAACAUAAACAUGAAAUAAGGUUAUAAGGUUGCACUCAAAAAGUUUUAGUGAUAGUCAACUAUGAGAAUAGGUCUAAUUACUGUUGAGAUACAUUCAUGUAAUCUUAUAGGAAACAUGAAAUACCAAAGAACAUCUUGUCCUUAGAAAUGAAUAGAGAAAUAGAUAUGGAAUGUUUAGGAUUUAACUUUAUGAUGAAAACCGCAAUCUCAUGACGCAUUUUUAUAUCUAAAUUUUAAUCAAAAAAAAUAAUUGCACUUAAUCAAUUUAUUUUUUUCAGCUAAUCAAAACUAAAAAUUAGAUUAGUAUUUACUUAAAGUCCAUGUGAAUCGAUAUUUUACUAGAACCGUACACUUGCGUAAACCUAUCAAAGACCCUAUUGAUGUAUAUGGAAUCGUAGUUACCUAUCAAAGCUACAAAAAAAAUUAGAUCGGAAUUGGGGUCUUUCUGACCAUUCUUGAAGUCGAAGGGGGUUCGUUUACUGGAUGUAGCAUCGAAGGCUUGAGUGAAGAGUUCGAAGGGGUGCACGGGUAUUCAAGGAUCUGAAGAUUCAAGAAGCACCAAAUUUAAGGGUUACUUGGAGUUUGGGGGAGUGUUUUACAUAGGAGUUGAAGAAUUAGGUUUUAAUUUCAAGGAACUUUUGUAAACACAUUUGUAUUCAACUAUUAUAAAAAUAUCGGUGUUAUCUCUCUUUCCCUAUCCUCUUUACUUUUAGCUAUUGCAUGUGAUUAAUUGAAUAAUUUUUAGAAUAAUUGCUAGUGUUGAUCUAAGUUAUUUUUCAUUGAAAAUCAAUCUAAUUCAUUGAAUUAGGUUUCAUAUAAUUUGCUUAGAUCAAUUGAUUGAAAAAUCUAUUCAAUUCUUCAAUUACACAUGUAUUGUGUUUUUGAUUUGAUAACUUAGUAAUUUUGUUCAUGUAGGUUUGGUUUGAAAUUGUCUAUUGUUUUGUACAUUGUUCAAGGAAUAUUAAAGUUUGAUUGUAUAAUAAGAUUUGUAUCGUGAAUCUCUCAAUUCUAAGAUUAAGUCUCAUUGCACAUAUAUUUGACCUUUUGAUUCCUUGAUUGUCAUUGUUCGACCACGAAUCCAAUAGUCAAUUUUGUUGAGAGAGAGAGAGAGAGAGAGAGAUUGGAUGGACGGGUGAUAUUAGUGCAGAACACAGCAAAAGAGAAUCGAAAAAAGAGGAUCUUGAUCCUUUUCUAAAGGAGAAUCAACCAUCUAUAUAAUGACAAUUUUAAACCCAUCAAGUACAAAAAUAACGAGCAAGGUGAAAAUAUAAACGUAACAUUGAACUAUUUUAUUAAAUGAUAAUAAACUUCAAAGGGUAAAAUUGGUUUUUAGAUAAACAUAUAAGGGGUUACUAAAAAGGGUUACAAGUUUUUUUUUUUUUUUGAAAGAAGGGAUACAAAUUAUAAGCUUGCGAAGAAAAGACGGUUAUCAAACACAGCCUAUGCAGCUCAUGAAGCUGCCAUAAAAAUUUUAAUAGUGGGGGAUGUUUAAUGAAGAUUAGUAGUAGUGUUACGUUAUUCAUGGAGCUAUAGUUAUAAAUAAUUUUAAAGUGGGUAAUGUUUAUUGAAGAUAGGGAGAUCGAAGCGGAAAUGCUGAAAAAUGAUGAUGGAAAAAUAUAAAUCGAUAUUAUCUUUUAUUUUAGUCAGAAUUUAAAUUUGGUAUUUUUCAGUAUCCAUGUCGGCGAUUUUGACUAAUUUUGAUUAAGUAAACGUCUUAGUUGACUUCAAUGACUAAAGUAACUAAGAACAAAGAGUGAAUGAUUUAAUUCGGGUUUUAUCUAAGUCAUUGACCAAAAUUACAUCUUGUUACACUUUUAAGGAGAAAAAUGGUUGUUUUCCCAAUAAUGUUUUCCAAUAUUAAAUUAAUGUUGUUUUCUGCCUUAGGGAUGUUACCAAUUUGUUAUGUUGGAGUUACCUUUAGUGCUAAGAAACCUUUAGACCAAUAAAAAUAUUUUGAGUCCCUUUUAAAGUGGUAAAUACACUAAUAUAAAGUCAUUGUCAAUUGAUGUUAGGACUAUUUAUUAAGAAUGCAAUAUUUACUUGUUGUUCUUUGGUAGACACUUAGAGUUCAUUUUUGUGGACUGUAUGAACUUGGUUAUAUCAUAGUUAACGUCGUAUUAGACAAACGGAAAUGAAAGACUCAUCUCUCACUCUACUUAGGACUAGCCAAUUGUCAAACUUGGUUACAAUUUAUUUUGUUUGGAAAACUUAAUUUGAAUUUUCUACAUGUCAUGAAAAAUUCAAAUUUCUGUUUUCUGAUUAGAAGAUCAAUAAACGGUUCAAUAUCAUCACAAUCUCCAAAUCAUAACUUCAUUCAUUUGCAAAUCUAGAGCACAUAUAUCACGAUUUUCUAUCAUGAUUUGCAUUGAUAUAAGUAAGUAUAACACAUAUAUUUUACUCUUAACUUAGCCAUACAUUGCGGAUUUACUUAGUAGAUAGAGUAAUGUUUUUUUUUAAACAACAAAUUUUAUUCAUAAGCUAACCCAACACAAGAAGUGAAGAGGCUAGAGGAAACACACAAGACAACAGAUACAUAAAGACAACUAAACCACCCAAACAAUCCUUAAUACAAUAGAAUAACAUCAGAAAAACCAGCCACCUAAACUUCCUAGUACCAUGAAACAAUGUCAGGUCGCGUUGAUUUUUAGGCUGGAGGGCAAUGUUUGUUUCGGAAGUUCUCGACUUUCUUCAACAAAGGGUAGUGCUUUUUGCAGAAAUCGGGUAUAUGGGGUAUAUGUACUGGUUUAUCUUUUGGGAUUAAAUUUUUGAUUUUUGGGAUUAAUGCUUCAACUGCGGGACCAAAGCUAACAGCAUCAGCAAAAUGUUGUUGAGGAGCAAGCAUAAAAGCAGCAAGGAAUAACACUAAUAAGGAUAAGAAAAAUGAAUUAGCCAUUUUAAGAAGUGAUAUAAUUAUUAGUGUUGGUGCAUAAUACAUAUGGAGUAUACUGGUUUUAUACUAGUUAGAGACUCAAUGUGAGUUUAUGGUCAAUCUAAGUCAUGUACUAAAUGUCAAAAUUGUGUAUGAAUUGAAUUAUUCAACAAUGUUACAUGUUCCUUCCAUGUAUUUGCUACUAGUUGAUGAUCAGUCCCUACCUAUCCUUUAAUUUUCCACACAACAAGACCAUUCAGUAAUAUUGGCUCUAUCUCUCCACUUGUUUGCCCACCAUGGUUUAGCUGAAAAAACAGUGCAACUUGUUUCAAUAACAUUAAUAUAUAUAGAUAUUACUAUUUAUAUAUGCAUUGAACCCUGUAUGAUUUAUUUAUUUAUAAAAAUUCCAAAUAGGUUACUUUAUUUGUCAUUUAUGCUUGAAUAUGAAAAUACAAAACAGUGUUUUUUCUCAUUAAAAUUUUUACUAUAAAGAUUUUUAAUAACUUAGUGUUUACCAAUUGCACUUACUAAUUCUUAAUUAUAGAAUGAUGAUUAAAAAUUGUAUGUUUCAUAACUGUUUUUCAUCACAAGUUUAUAGUUCACUUCUCAGACGUUAUUCCAAAUAACGUUUGAGAUUAUAGGUUAUCAUUUUAAUUUCAUGUUUACCUUUAUUAUUUUGUUUAAGAUUUAUUUUUAUCCUUUUUAAUAUAUACUAUUUAUAAAGAAAAUAUAGGGAUUUUGGGCUGACUUUUUUGUUAUUCCAAUUAUACCUUUAAAUAAAAAAAAAUCAAAUAAUGUGAUAUGGUUGGUGUUAAUAAAAAGAUAAGAAUUUUUGUUAUAUUAUUGUUGUCAUUGAGAAUCAUAAAUAUUGUUUGUUGAGUUUGUUACAUUUGAAAGUCACAUAUCAUACUUUUAAUUUUUGUCUAUAUCAAAAAAUUUAUAUAAAAUAUCGUUUGUAAUUUACACGCAGAAUUUCAAUAAAUUAUCGUAAAUAAUUUAUACACAUUAACGUAAUAAAAAGAGCAGAAAGAUGAACAUGUGAAUGCUCGUCUUUUCGCUAGUUUAUUAUAAAGAAUAUGCUAAAUGUUUGGUUCUUUUGUCAUACUACACAAAUUAUUUGGUAGCUUUAUAUAUAUGUUACUAAUGUUAAUUUCACUCUCACUUUAAUUAUGUUACUCCAGAGUCCCUCUGAAAUAAUGUUUCUCUUUUUGCCCUAAAACUUCUCUCUUGCCAUCCAAAAUUUAAAACUCCCAUAUUAUAUGAUUCAUGAAGAUUUUUUGCUUCAAAACAUUGAUCAGGUCUUUUCAAACACGGACAACAAGGUAGGGUAUCAUUCCUUCCCUUUAGUGUUAUUUGAAUCUUUUUUUUUUUUCUUCUGUAAACUAAAACCUUAUAGAUUAUAUAAUAAUCUGAAUCAAGUUGUUCCUGGUUUGGAUUAUAUAAUUUGACAUGCUUCUAUAUAUAUGUUGUUUUGUUAUUUUGUGGAUAUUUUUUUAUUUUUUUUAGACAAAAGAGGAAUUAAAUUAAAAUAGAAAAGGAGGUAUAAGAUUGGGGGCAAUGACCUGACCAGUAAACCACAAAAUCAAAAUACAACAAUUUCAGUACAAAGUGGUAUACAACGAACACAACCCUAAACAAUCACUACUACGGACAAUUCAGCGAACCCACGUAUGAGCGCCAAACCGAAUUGCAAAAAAAACGUAGAGUGAGUAUUCAGAACUUCUAAAUAGGCGUAUGGAUCGACUGCCAACACAAAAACGAUCCAAGAUCAAGCAGCUCCCAUCAAAUAUCAGCAAGCAAUAAACGCCCUUUCGGGCCAACCAUUCCAGUCGUAGUUCAGUUCGAGGGAUGAACAAACGACAUAAAUGUAAAGCAGUCCACUGACAACGCAUAAAGCAACCGUAGCAGAUAAAGUCCUGCAGGUACGACAUCAACAACUAUCGUCAACCAGAGCGUCUACGCACUUAGCCCUUUCGUGCAUAUCAGGCGAAACAAGUCUUGUUGAAUCCAGAUCGAGGGAUGGUAUCCAACCAAACAUCGCACAAAUGAACAGAACCAUAACCAAAUCUUAAAUCCAGACAAACCAAAUUCAAAAUUUCAACUAAACCGGAUAGCCAGAAUAAGACCACCACCAAUCUUCAUCUUCCCGAAACAACAUAAAACACCAUUCGAUUCUUCAUGGUCUUCUUCUUUCAAACUAGUGCGUCUUCCUGGAACCGCCAUUGAUGUGAAAUUCGACUAUCUUUGCCGCCGCUUCAACUUCAAACUACUAUGCCAUUGACGCUUUUAAUUUAGUGGGAGAAAAAAGAAAAAGAUCGAAAUGAAAGUAGAAGAAGAAGGUUUGGUGUGUGUUUUUGAAGAAGAAGACGAAGAAAAAAAAAAGUUUGUGUUGUUACGUGUGAGAGGGUGUGGUGGUAAGCUUGUAUAUGAGAGAGAAAUAUAUGUCUAGAGUUUUGAUGUCUAAAGAAGACCACAAUUAAUGUGACAUUGGAAAAUGAAAGGGUGGAUGCAUGGGUACCAAAAUCUCAUAAUUAUUUGUUGGAAGAUGCAUAAGGAAGAGAGAGUUAUCCCCAAUAAAUGAGAGUGGGGAAUAGUUGAAAGAAGUGGCUUUUACAAAGUAGAAUGCUGAUUAGAAUUAACAAUUAAGUGUAGAUGAUCAACGGUUGAUGUUGAAUGGCGCCUAAAUGAUGAUCAGCAUCCAAUGGCUUGCAAAAUUGGAGAGAAAAAUGAGGGGGGAAAAUUAGGGUUAAGGAUAGCUUCGGGGGAUAAGCUUUAGUAAGUAAGAUUGUCUUAUAUACUUACAUUAUUUUAGGUCUAAAUUUCAGAAACCAUUAUUUGACAAUUUUUUUGACAAUUUUAUCUCACAUACUCACAUUAUAUUUUUACUUCUCUUUUUGUUGUUUUGGUUUUUAUUUUCAUACCUAAUUUUCCUUGUAAAUCUAUAGUUGUCUCAUAAAUUAUCGUUAAAAUUGUUGUUCAAAUAACACAACUCUUAUUUCUAAUACUCAAAAUUUGUUCAAAUUAAGUUUUUAAAGAACUUCUAAUAAAGUCAGAUUAAAGUUUUUUUGAACUUUUUAAAUACUUAAAUUGAAUUUUCUCCAAUAUACAUAUUAGAGAAAGAAAAAAAAUAAUGAUAGGAGGGAGAUGCAAAACUUAUGUUUUCUUUCUCUAGAAACAUAUUUUGAGUUUUCAAUAUCAUCAAAAUCUCAAAAUCAUAAACUUUAUUUAUUUGCAAAUCUAGAGCACAUAUAGCGCGAUUUUCUCUCAUAAUUUACAUUGAUAUAACACAUAUUAUGUUCUUACCUUGCCCAAACAUUCGGGAUUUAAUUGAUGAUGUAAAAGACGUUUUUAAAUGUAGAAUAAGAAAGAUGGAAAACCUCCAAGCCAAAUUAUACACAAGAUAUACAAAUUAUACACAAAAAUUUCAAAUUUCAAUUUUCUCGAGAGUAUUCUUAAAUGAUCAAUCAAUGAUUCAAUAUAAUCACAAUCUCAAAAUCAUAAACUUUAUUUAUUUUCAAAUCUAGAGCACAUAUAGCGGGAGGAGAUUGUCUCGUGUGAUUUUUCUCUCAUGUGUAAUCCAGACCCUCCAUUAAAUAUGUGAGAUAAUGUGUUUGUAAUAUAAAAUGACCGAACGCAAGAUAAAUUGUUUUUUUCUAAACAAUAAAUUUUAUUCAUAAGCAUUCCCGUGAGCUUAGCUCAGUUGGUACGGAUAUUGCAUUUUAUAUGCAGGGGCUGAGGUUCGAACCCCAGACACCCCACUUCUCCACAAUUAAAUUGUGUGAGCUCUAACCACUAGACUACUUGACCAAGAAAAAAAGAAAUAUUCAUAAACUAACCCAACACAACACAAGAAGUGAAGAGGCUAUAGAGGAAAGACACAGGGUAACAAUACAUAAAGACAACUAAACCAAGGCUAAAAAGCCACAACACAUGUAAAUGGCUUAUCACAGCAGAAAACAAGGUAUAUCAAUAUCAUGUGUGACUACAAAACCGCCCAAACAACCCUUAAUACAAUAGAAUCACAGCAGAAAACACCCUUAGUAGAUAUUGAUAUGCCUUGCCGCGUUGAUGUUUUAGAAAUGUGCAGGUGGAGGGCAAUUACUGGGUCGGUUAUGCCCGUUUUUCCUCGAGCAGGGAUUUAAUGAGGGCUUUUGGGAUGGUUUAGGACGAGGGAAAGGUACUGGUUUGGAUGGAGUGAAAUGGGGUAAAUGCUUUAUGAUUCCUGGAGGGAGAUGUAUGGCAUCAACAGCAAAAUGUUGAGGAACAAACAUAAGAGCAGCAAGGAAUAACACUAAUAAGGAUAAGAAAAAGGAUUUAGCCAUUUUAAGAAGUGAUAUAAUUAUUAGUGUUGGUGCAUAAUACAUAGGGAGUUAAACUGGUUUUAUACUAGUUAGAGACUCAAUGUGAGUCUAUCGUCAAUCAAAGUUAAAAUUGUGCACGAAUUGAAUUAUUCAACAAUGUUACAAGUUCCAUGUAUUUGAUACUAGCUGAUGAUCAUUUAGUAUUAUUGGCUCUAUCUCUCCACUUGUUUGCGCACAUGGUUUACCUGAAAAAACAGUGUACUGGAGGUGCAACUUGUUUUAAUAGCAUUUUUUGUUGAGCACAUCAUGAGACAACACCGACAUCCUAACUAGAUUAGUAUUUCAGGACGCCUCCGUCCUAUGCCUGCCAAUCUCUAAAUUUUAUUAAAAAAGGGUAAAAAUAUAUACAAGGAGAGUGAGGACUAGGCCAAAAUCCUCAAUGAAAAAACCAAAGGAAACAAUAAAAAAUAAAGCCUACUGAAAUCUAUAAUUGGGUGAGCCAAUUCUGUCUCUAUAGAAGUCGAAAUGCAACUCUGCACGAAGCGUGUCUAACCAAACAGAACCCUGAAUAUCAUGACCCUCGGACAUUCCAAUAUAACAUCAUUGGGAAGAUGGAGGAAGACCACUCUUUCCAAGGAUUUGAUAAUGCGGCUUUCCGAAGACUUACUUCUUCAUAUUUAACGCGGCUUUUUUGAGAGAACUUGCGUAAAUCCUUUCUUUACGGCCCGUUGAUCGUAUUCUUUGAUUCUGGCCCAUAAAUCCAAGUCAUUCUGUACGUUUUUGCUAGUGUUUUAAUAACAUUAAUAUAUAGAUAUUACUAUUUAUAUAUGCAUUGAACCUGUAUGAUUUAUUUAUAAAAAUUCCAAAUAAAUUACUUUAUUUGUCAUUUAUGCUUGAACAUAAAAAUACAAAACAUUGUUUUUUCUCAUUAAAAAAUUUAAUUAAUUUAUAAAGCUUUUUAAUAAAUUAGUGUUUACCAAAUUGCACUCAUUAAUUCUUAAUUAUUGAAUGAUUGUAAACUCAUUUUAGAACCUCCAAAAAUGAAGAAAGCUCAUUCUUAGGACAACACAAAAUGGAAAACACUCAAGAUUGUUGGCAUAUUGGUAGACUAUUUCUAUCUGACAAAUUCAAUAAGCUAGUUUAUAGUUUAUAAGUCCGAAUGAUUAAAAAAUGUAUGUUUCAUAACCGUUUUUUCAUCACAAGUUUUAUAGUUUAUUUUAUUAGUUUGUAGCUUAUUUUUUAGACGUUAUUUUAAAUAACGUUUGAGAUUAUAGUUUAUCAUUUUUAUUUGUGUUUACCUUUAUUAUUCUGUUUAAGAUUUAUUUUUAUCCUUCAUAAUCUAUACUACUACCGUUUAUUCUGUUUGACAUUAUAGUUUAUUUUUAUUUGUAGUAUAUAUAAAGAAAAUAGGGGGAUGUUAGGCUAGCUUUUUUGUUACUCUAAUUAUACCCUAAAAUAAAUAAAAAGUCAAAUAAUAUUAUAUUGUUGGUGUUAUUAAAAAGAUAAGAAUUUUUGUUAUAUUAUUGUUGUCAUUGAGAAAGAUAAAUAUGGUUUAUUGAGUUUGUUACAUUUGAAAGUCACAUAUAUUUAUACUUGUAAUUUUAAUCUAUAUCAAAGAGUUUUUAUAAAAUAUAGGUUGUAAUUUACACGCAGAAUUUCUAUAAAUUAUCGUAGAUAAUCUAUACACGUUAACGUAGUAAAAAGAGAAGAAAGAUGCGCACGUGAGUGCCCGUCUUUUCACUAGUUUAUUAUAAAGAAAAUGUUAAAAUGUUCAAUUAUUUUGGUCAUACUGCACGAAUUAUUUGGUAGCCUGGCAUAUAUGUUACUAAUGUUAAUUUCACUCUCACUUUAAUUAUGUUACUCCACAGUCCUCUAAAAUCGUGUUUCUCUUUUUGCCCUAAAACUUCUCUUUUAUGUUACUCCACAAUCCUCUAAAAUCGUGUUUCUCUUUUUGCCCUAAAACUUCUCUUUUUGAUUAUUCAAUCCGAAUCAAGUUGAUCUGGUUUGGAUUAUAUAAUUUGAACUGCUUUUAUAUAUGUUGUUUCUUUAUUUUGUGGAUAUUUGUUAAUUGUUUGUACAUCUGAUUUUAACACUUUCAAAUAUUGACCGCAUGGGCUGUGUUAGGAACGAUAGAAUUUCCUUGACUGCAUCUUCUAGGUGAGAGCGUAUGUAGAAGAAUGUAGUGGAAAGGAGAGUGGUCAAGGGCAUGGGCAUGGGCCGCAAUGCUGAGACGCAGAGAGGUCGUCAGUUCCUAGACAUUAGUGGACAGUUACGGCGCAUCGAGGAACAUGUCAGAAGUAUUUAACUUUUUUAGUGAAGAUUUUUUUAAUUUAGAAUUUUUAAAGAGUGUCUCGAAAACACUCAUUAGCAAGACUGAUAAGUUGUAGUUUAUGGUGUUUUUAUCAUUUAAAUUCAAUAAUAUGUACGUUGUUUUAGUUUUAAUUUAGAUUCAUUUUACUGGAAAACAUUAGUUUUUAUUUUCAUAAUCAAAAUUAUGAAGAACAUUAUACCUAGAUUAAGAGCGAGGAAAAAGAGCCAUGAAAGAGCCAUAAAGCAGCAGCACGGAUGGUCCGUGGUUCCAUCUAGGUCGUGGAGUUCUUAAAAUGUCAAAAUUUCAAAAGUUGAAGUACAAGCACAACCGUGUGCCCCAACACGGUAGAAACAAGCAUGAUUGUGCACUUCAGAAGCACGACUUUUGCACCCCUCAAAACACAACAAAAUGUCAAAAGUUGGAAAGGUGAGCAUGACCGUGCACCCUUGAAGCACGACCGUGAGUCUUGUGCAGAGAAAAAUAGUUGUUACAACCUCUUAAAGUUCUUUGGUUCAUGGCUUGUAACUUGUUUUUAAUAUAUUUGUCUGAGGCUCUAGGCUAUAAAUAUACCUCACUUCUAAGGAAAAAAGAAUCUUAGAUACUUGUAAACUUACUCUAAAGUUGAAAGCAUAAUUUUGCAAUGUUUUAAGUUCUUUGUUCUUUAUUUUUCAUUUCUUUACAUUUGUAUUCUUUACUUUUCUGUUCUUUACAUUUUCAGUAUUUUAUCUUCAUGUCUUUAUAUUUUAAUCACAUGUCUAUUAUGAUCAUAUGUUAGUAAACAAACUAUUCUAGUCUUGGAAUUGUUAGAAUAAUCAAUCUAAUGAUUGAAUGUUAAUCAACCCAAGUCUAGACUCUAUUUUAUAAGAAUCCAUUUUAUAAUCUAAUAUCAUCGUUACUAAAUUUUAUUUUAUAAUCUAAUAUCAUUGUUAUGAAAUUUUAUAACAAGUAUCAAACAAAGAACUGAGAGUUGAUGUUUGAUAUUGUUAUUUAAUCAUGUCUAAGAUAUCAAACGAAGGACCGAGAGGUGAAAUUUGAUAUUGGAAUAAAUGAGAUUGUAAGAGAUAAGCAAAAUAUGAAAAUAAUUUUAUGACUCUUAGGACAAUAAGGUUAUAAGGUUGCACUCGAAAAGUUUCAAUGAUAAUCAACUAUGAGAAUAGGUUUAAUUACUGUUGAGAUACAUACAUUCAUGUAAUCUGAUAGGAAACUGAUAGAAUAUGUGUUACUUAGUCAUGUAAUUUGUAUUAUUAAAAGAAUAUUAAUACGUAUUCAUUGUGUUAAUUAGUCAUUCAUUUUGUAUUCAUUAGUCAUUAAGAGAAUGAUAACAAUUUGAUGUAUAUAAUGCACUCAGAUUAUCAAUGAAAAUCAUUCAGCUAUUUUCCUAUAUGGUAUCAGCUAGGUUUUAGAUCCUCUCCUACUUCUUCUAGCCGCCCACCACCACCUUUUCUUCCCUAUACUUCCGUUAUAAACCGCCAUCCAUGGCUACCUCAACAACAGCUGAAUCAACCACUCUCUCAACAAAUUCCUCUCCCGUGACAGACACAUUUGUCUCAACGGCACCAUCAUCAAAAAUUCACUCGGCCUUCACUAUCAACAACGUGAAGUCUAUCAUUCCCGUAACCUUGCACAAUGGCAGAAUGCUUUUCAUUGAUAAUCUGAGUGCAUUAUAUACAUCAAUUUGUUAUCAUUCUCUUAAUGACUAAUGAAUACAAAAUGAAUGACUAAUUAAUAUAAAUGAAUACCUAUUAAUAUUCUUUUAAUAAUACAAAUUACAUGACUAAGUAACACAUAUUCUAUCACUCCCACGCAGUUGAUGCGGGAGGUUGUCGGACGCUGAGUCUGUCCCUAAAAUCUUGAAAUAAAACCAAUGGGAGACCCUUAGUGAAGAUAUCUACAAUUUGAUAGCGUGAUGGAACAUGUAGGACACGGAUGUCUCCACGAGCUACUUUUUCACAAACAAAAUGAAUGUCCAUUUCGAUAUGUUUUGUGCGUUGGUGCUGGACGGGAUUUCGGAUAGAUAUAUGGCACUAACAUCCUUAUUAUCUAAUCCUAAACUACAAUGCACACAACAAUUGCAAAACCCUAAUCCUUGGUUUUGAGCGGGAAAAUUGUGAUUUAACCACAUUUAAUGGCAUUUUUGAAUUUCAAAUCAUGUACCCUUUUGAAAUGUGUGCAUAUGUGCCUAAUUAAUGCAGAUUUUGAAAUUCAAAUAUCCCACCACUUGGAAUUGUGCUCGCUUCUUUCCAAGACAUGCAGUUACCCACUUCUCAAUGCAAAAGCAUCUGAACCAAACAAACCUAUUUCCUUGCAUUUUGCUCUUUCUCCCUCUCUCUCACUCCCCUCUCACGCCCAUUUUUCUCUAAUCAGAAAAGGUCAACGAUUUUCAGUCCCUCUUCUCUUCUCUCUCACUCCAGUUUUCUCUCAAAAAAAAGCCUCUUCUCUUCUCCCACGUUAUUUUUUUCUUCAUUUUCUAACAUUCUUCUUCAAUUCUCCAUCUCUCUCUCUCAUUGUUUCUCGCGUAGCUCUUCGUGUCUUAGUUUGGGUGUUCUCUUCAUCGCCGGUCAGCCUCACCAAGGCAAUAAGCAUCUUCAAGUUUUAUUGAAAGAGAAUGCUUCUAUGCAACAAAAUUUUCAAGACCUUCGAUCCCUCGGUAUGCGUUUUCAGUUUCGUUACGUUUUGAUUGAUUUUGAUUUCGCGAUUAGGAUUUUGGUAUCACCGGUGUUGUUUUGAUUGAUUUUUCCGAUUUGAUAGGAAAGGAGCUUGAAGAAGGUGGAGUUCUCAGUGAAUCGGCACUGUCGCGGAAGGUUUUUCUUUUCAUCAACGAUCUUCUCUCUCAUUCUCUCUCAUUCGCUGCUCUUCUACUAAGCUUUGAUUGUGGAACGUAUGAAGGCAGAGUGACAUCUGAUAACGAUCAGAAUCAAGGCUACUAAGCUUAGAUUAUGGCUUCUAGGGGCAGAGGAAAAUGAGGAAGAAAAAGCACCAUCAAUUACAAUCUGCUCUACAUGUAUAAUGUUUUCCGUAUUCGAAUUAUUUCAAAUUGCAAGUAAUUUAAAUUGAGUUUUAAGGUAGUUUUCUUUGACUGCAAGUAUAAGGGGCUUAUUUCACAAGGUUAUACUUAGAUGUGUAUAUUCACUAUUGAAGCUUAUUUUGAGUUUCCGUGAUGACUUACUUUAUCGAAAUCACGGUGUGCCGCCGCGAUUUAGAAAAAGUUAUAGGGUGCAGCUUUUACAAUAACUAAAAAUUAACUAAUGAUUUGCCUGAAGUUUCUAAUUCUUUUUAUUGGUCCGAUUACAGUCCCUCUCUGAUGAUUUUCUACAACUAUCAGAUUUGAUUGAAUCAACUAAGGUUAAUUAUUUUGUCCAUAAUUUUUGCAAGAUAACUCUUCAGUCUACUGUUUUAGGUCAAAAUUAAUUUAUUUUGUGUAUAGAACAAUAGUUAUGCAGACCACCCAUUUCAAUAGGAUAAUGUCAAAAUUAAUUUAUGCAGACCAUCCAUUUCAAUAAUCAAUAAUGUUUUUUUGGGUUUGUUUGUAUAAUAGCAGGUUUUUUAAGAUUUGUUUUGUGUAUAAUGUGUCAUUUCACUCCACGUAGCCAAUCUUAGUGUUUGUUCAUGAAUAGAAAGUGGCUCAUAAAACAAUUUAAGGGUUCGAUUGUUCUAUAUUAUCUUUGCUCAUCUCUCUUAGUGUUUGAAAUUAGUUCAAAGAGUGGUCUAAAAAUUCUGCUAACAUAUGAGGAUGACGCUUGCAUUGAUAGUUUUUUUUUUUAAAAAAAAAAAAAAAAUCGCAUUGUAUACACAUAAAUUCCUUGAAAUAUAAUUGUAUACACAACGUACACUACAUACGAGGUCAACUUUACGUCGCAAUAUCCAAGGUGACCUCCAGGAAUGGGUUGAAGAUUUUAAUGAAUGAUGAUAAUAGUAAUAGCAUGAAUAGCACUUCAAAUGUAGUUAUAAGGAGAUUUUCUGCAAUCUACCGAUUUAAGGUCUUUUUUAAUGUAUUUUUUUUAGAAACAAUUUAUUUUGUACCGCAAGCAUAUUUAAUUUCAAUACAUUUUGUAAUAGCAUAUUUUAUUUUGUACAGCACGGGUGGAUGGUCUAGUUAUCACAAUAAACUAAACUAGCCUUGUGAAUGGGGAAAUGUAAUUCCAAAAGCAAGUUUCAUAACCAACAAGAUUCAGAAACCGCAUUGGAACCCCUCGAUAUUCUGCUUCAGCACUUGAACGAGAUAAAGUAGGUUGUCGUUUGGAAGACCAUGAGAGUAAGUUGUCACCAAGAGAUACACAGCAACCAGAGGUGGAUCGUCAGGUAUCUAGGCAACUUCCCCAAUCUGCAUUGUGUAAACAAUCAAUGAUGAUGUAGAAGAAGAGUAAAGUUGCAGUCCAUACUCGCGUGUGCCCUGAAUAUAUCUCAGGAUGCGUCAAAGGGUGUGCAUGUGAUCAUCCAUUGGAUUGUGCAUAAAUAAACAUAUUUGUUGCACUGCAUAAGAAAUGCCAGGCCUUGUGAAGGUGAGGUAUUGUAGGGCGCCAGCAAGGCUGCGAUAUAGAGAAAGGUCUUCAAAUGGGGUGCUAGUUUUGGCUCUCAUCUUUGGUUUAGUAUCAACCGUUGUAGGACAUGGUUUACAAGAAGCCAUUCCAGCACGAUCAAUAAUUUCUUCUGCAUAUUUUUUCUGAGACAAAAAUAAGCCACCAGGAUGACGUGUGACAGCAAUACCCAAAAAAUAAUUCAACAAUCCCAAAUCUUUCAUAGCAAACUCGGAACUAAGGAGUGAUAUGAUAGACUUUCAAAGGUCGUCAGAGGAAGAGGAAGCAGUAAGAAUGAUAUCAUCUACAUACAGUAUGAGGUAGGCCAAAAGGUGGGUUUUUCCUAUAUGGUAUCAGAAAAACUCUGCUUCCCGGAACUCUGGCAGAGGUGGUCGAAAUGGUACUGGUAAUUAUUGAUCUAUAACAAUAACCAUAUACGAAGACUACCUCAAAAAAAAAAAAAAAAAAAACGUACGAAGGAGAAUCAACCAUCUGGAUAAUACAUAUCCUUAUUUUAUUUAUUUGAAUUUGAAUGGCAACCACCAAAGCCACAUAUAGAAAGAAUAUUUUCCUACCAAUCGUACAUGAUGCCCAUAACAAAAGAUAGGUUCCAUAAUAUGGCCCCAUAAUAUCCUUAUCCUUAUAAUUAUGGUUCAGAAAAUAAAAAACCUCGUUAAGUUUUAGGAUUAUUUUAAGUUGAUAAAUAUUAACGAGUAUCUUCAGAGCAUUUUUCAAACAUCUAAAGUGGUAAGAUUUUAUGAAAGUUGAGCAUUUAUUAUAUUGGAAAUUGAAGUCUUUACAUUUCUUUUAAAAAUAAUUUUUUCAUUAUAAAUGCUUAAAAGGUGCUCCAUGGACAUUCAUUAACAGGACUCUUUUAAAUUUUAGAAUGUUAGCAUUUCCCUAAAACACAUGUUAAAGAUAGAGAUAUAUUAUGGCCUCUCACGGUAGCACCCGCCUACGUAGCGAGUUUAUGGUCAAUCUAAGUCAUUUACUAAAUGUCAAAAUUAUGUAUGAAUUGAAUUAUUCAACAAUGUUACAAGCUCCAUGUAUUUGCUACUAGUUGAUGAUCACUAACUAUCCUUUCAUUUUCCAUACAACUAGACCAUUUUUUUUUAGUAUUAUUUGCUCUAUCUCUCCACUUGUUUCCACAAAUAUGAUUAAUUUUUUUCGAAAAUUUUGUUUUUUUAAAUAUGAUAUUAUGGAAAACAAAAUUCGAAAAUUUGAAUAUAUAUUAAUCUUUUCCACAAUUUUUUUAAAUAUUUCCCGAUUAUUUUUAUAAUUUUUCCAGAUUUUUUUCAUUAUUUUUUAUUUUACCAGAUUUUUUUAAUCAUUAUUAAUUUUUACAUUUUUUUUUUAAAUUUUUCAGUAUUUUUUUUAAUCAUUAUUCGUUUUUUAAAUUUUUUUAUUUUUAUUUUAAAAAAAUCACAAAUGCCACGUGGCGUUCAUUUACACGCGUGGCAUGAAAAAAAUUAAACAAAAAAAAAUUGACACGUCACUGCCACGUAGUAGAUUCUGCCGACACAUUGAGGUGAGGGGUCAAUCCUGAAGAAUCUUCAUUUUUCAAGGGUGGAAUCUAAAAAAAAAAAAUUACAGGGGCUAAAACCAAAAGUGCAUUAUAUUACAAAGGCCAAAAACACUAUUAACACUAUAUUAUUACUUCUUCUUUUUUAUAAAAAUCCAAAUAAAAAUCAUUUGCAUUGCAGCCAAUUGGCCAAAUGCAACAUGACAAGCGCAAAAUUGCUCCAUGUUGACUUGUGAGAACUCUUGUUCUAGAUAGAGAACCUUAUAGUUUUUGUUGUCACAGAAAAUGUUAAACAACUUUUUCCAUGCAAUUUAUGCGUCUGAAUCGCGCUUGAUGAUGGUGAUGAGAAUAUAUUCUGAGGUGGUGUCAUAUAUCCAUUAUAAUACGACAACAUCAAAAAGCGGCCAAAGAUUGGGAUUGAUUUCUUUGAGAGAGGGAGUUGUUGGCUUAUUAGUGGGUGAGGGAGGAAUGAUGUGAUGAAAGACUUGAUGAACCCUUGCAUGAAUUUUAAAGAGUUCGAACCACGUAUUAUAUUGGACCCUUUUUUAUACUAAACGUAACCUUGAUGAAAUUGGUGAUAAUUGAAAAUGGUGGUAGAGGGAUGGAUAGGUGUGGAAGGAGUUGGGGUUGAAAUUGUCCUUCGAGUGGUAGUAUUUUUGGGGAUGAUUCGGCCCUGAUGGUGAAUGAAGGAGAAGAGGAACGAUGGCGCUGUAUUAGGUUUACGAGAGAAGGAUGAGUACCAACAACUUACUGAUACCAUGUAAGAAUUAUAAUAAGAUAAUUAUUAGUCGUGUGUCAUUUGCAUUGAGAGGAUCCGUUGACACUAGGUGUCAAACUUUAGUUUGACAUCAAAUCUCAACCGUCUAUUAUGUCUAAUCUAAUGGUCUGUGAUUAUUUAUUAAAUUAACUUGUGUGAUCUUUUUCCCAUGUCUCACCUGAUCCCACGCCGGCUGUUCUGCUCCAUCUCCUUCAACUUAUCAAAGUUAAUAUGGCCAACAAUCAAAUACACACACAAAUUAAUUCUUUUUUUUUUUUAAAGAAGAAGAAGCUAAAUUAGCCCACACAAAUUGGCACCGGAGAGAAUCGAUCCUGAGACCUCGAGGAGGAGCACACUCCCAGAUCCCAAGUCAAUACCACCAGACCAACCCAAAUGAUAAAUAAGGAGUUAAUUCUAAAUAAGGAGUUAUACAUAUAAUUACAUAUUGUUGACAUUAAUUGUUCUCUGUGGGGCAAGAUACUUGAGGUGUAAGUUUCAUAAGAUGCAAGUUCUUUUAAGUCUAAAUUGUCUUAUACUUACAUUAUUUUAGGUCUAAAUUUCAGAAACCAUUAUCACAAAUUUUUUGACAAUCUUAUCUCACAUACUCGUACUAUAUUUUUACUUCUCUUUUUGUUGUUUUGGUUUUUGUUUUCAUACCUAAUUUUCCUUGUAAAUCUAUAGUUGUCUCAUAAAUUAUCGUUAAAAUUGUUGUUCAAAUAACACAACUCCUAUUUCUAAUACUCAAAAUUUGUUCAAAUUAAGUUUUUAAAGAACUUCUAAUAAAAUCAGAUUAAGUUUUUUUGAACUUUCUAAAUACUUAAAUUGAAUUUUCUCGAAUAUACAUCUUGGAGAAAGAAAAAAAAUAAUUAUAGGAGGGAGAUGCAAAACUUACGUUUUCUUUCACUAGAAACAUAUUUUGAGUUUUCAAUAUCAUCAAAAUCAUAAACUUUAUUUAUUUGCAAAUCUAGAGCACAUAUAGCACGAUUUUCUCUCAUAAUUUACAUUGAUAUAACACAUAUUAUGUUCUUACCUUGCCCAAACAUUCGGGAUUUAAUUGAUAAUGUAAAAGAUGUUUUCAAAUGUAGAAUAAGAAAGAUGGAAAACCUCCAAGCCAAAUUAUACACAAGAAUAUAAAACAAAGCAUUUACUUGGUAGAUAAUAUUUUCUUUUUAAACAGCAAAUUUUAUUCAUAAUAAGAUAACCUAACACAAGAAGUGAAGAGGCUAUAGGGGAAAGACACAAGGUAACAAUACAUAAAGACAACUAAACCAAUGCUAAAAAUCCACAUCACAAAACCACCCAAACAACCCUUAAUACAAUAUAAUCACAGCAGAAAAACCUUAACCAAAUCAAGCAAACACACCCAGACCUUCCCCUAACACAAAAUCAAACCAGUUUCCAUCAACACCACAUCAAUAGACCCCUUAAAUAAUUGAACAAAAACCAGCCACCUAAACUUCCUGGUACCAGUAAAUUACAAUUACUUAGUAGAUAUUGAUAUGUCUUGUUGCAUUGAUGUUUCAGAAAUGUGUGGCUGGAGGGCAAUCUUUGGGUCGUAACUUCCACAAUAUCUUCGAGCAGCGAUUGAUUUUGGGAGUUUUGAAUUUUGGGAAGGCAGCAUCAACAGCAAAAUGUUGAGGAGCAAGCAUAAAAGCAGCAAGGAAUAACACUAAUAAGGAUAAGAAAAAGGAAUUAGCCAUUUUAAGAAGUGAUAUUAUUAUUGUGUUGGUGCAUAAUACAUAUGGAGUUAACUGGCUUUAUACUAGUUAGAGACUCAAUGUGAGUUUAUGGUCAAUCUAAGUCAUUGUGUAUGAAUUCAAUCAUUCAACACGUAGGUUCCAUGCAUUUGGAAAACUAGUUGAUGAUUAAAA